UUCGCAAUGCCCGAAAGGGUGACGAAGCGACGCCGCGUGUGGGAAGAAGGCCUUCGGGUUGUAAACCACUGUCGGGAGUUAAGAAAUACAAGGAUAUGAAUAGUGUCUUUGUUUGACUAAGGCUCCGGAGGAGGCCACGGCUAACUCUGUGCCAGCAGCCGCGGUAAUACAGGGGCGGCAAGCGUUGUUCGGAAUUAUUGGGCGUAAAGAGCACGUAGGCGGCUAUGUAAGUCGGUUGUGAAAGCCUUCCGCUCAACGGAAGAACAGCAUCCGAUACUACAUGGCCUGAGUGCGGGAAGGGAGAGUGGAACUUCUGGUGGAGCGGUGAAAUGCGUAGAUAUCAGAAGGAACGCCGGCGGCGAAAGCGGCUCUCUGGCCCAUAACUGACGCUGAGUGUGCGAAAGCUAGGGGAGCAAACGGGAUUAGAUACCCCGGUAGUCCUAGCCGUAAACGAUGGGCACUAAGUAGAGGGGUUUU
Molecule: ribosomal RNA, 477 nt
Filed under: uncultured bacterium
Lineage: Bacteria
Description: bacterial SSU rRNA
Rfam family: Bacterial small subunit ribosomal RNA
Source: RNAcentral